GCUGCCGCUGCUUUGGCUGCUGCGUCAUACGCCCCAGAGCCGCCGGGACGGAGGGGCUGGGCCUGGGGACCCCCCGGCCUCCGCCUGCACGCCCCCCCACGCCCGGACGUGCCCUCUCCGCGCGGGGGACUCGCCUAGGUCUCCUACGUCUGCCCCUGCCCGGCUCCCGGCGGCCCCAGCUGUCACCGGCCCCCCCAGGAUGCAAUGGCGCAGCCCCCCCGGCUGAGCCGCUCUGGUGCCUCCUCACUUUGGGACCCAGCUUCUCCUGCUCCCACCUCUGGCCCCAGGCCUCGGCUUUGGGAGGGUCAAGAUGUGCUGGCCAGAUGGACUGAUGGGCUGCUAUACUUGGGUACCAUCAAAAAGGUGGACAGUGCUAGGGAGGUGUGUCUGGUCCAGUUUGAGGAUGAUUCGCAGUUUCUGGUUCUAUGGAAAGACAUUAGCCCUGCUGCCCUCCCUGGAGAGGAACUCCUCUGUUGUGUCUUUGCGAUCGCCACCAAGAGGGGAGGUGCCCUGAAGAAGGGCCCCUAUGCCCGGGCCAUGCUGGGUAUGAAGCUUUCUCUGCCAUAUGGACUGAAGGGGCUGGACUGGGAUGCUGGACAUCUGAGCAACCGACAGCAGAGUUACUGUUACUGUGGUGGCCCUGGGGAGUGAGUAAUGAGAGGGGAGCAGACUGUGGAAUGAAUGAUGUGGUGGUGGAUCCCAGGAAAUGAAGGAAAAAGAACAGGAUGAGGGUAGCACUCAGGGGGAUAGGAGGUAAGUUUAGGGUUUGGGACAGUUAUGGGGAAGGGGGUUUCUGGAGGCCAGAAGUCCUGUGUUCCCCCUCAGGUGGAACCUGAAAAUGCUGCAGUGCCGGAGCUGCCUGCAGUGGUUCCAUGAGGCCUGCACCCAGUGUCUGAGCAAGCCCCUCCUCUAUGGGGACAGGUUCUAUGAAUUUGAAUGCUGUGUGUGUCGCGGGGGCCCUGAGAAAGUCCGGAGACUACAGCUUCGCUGGGUGGAUGUGGCCCAUCUUGUCCUGUAUCACCUCAGUGUUUGCUGUAAGAAGAAAUACUUUGAUUUUGAUCGUGAGAUCCUCCCCUUCACUUCUGAGAAUUGGGACAGUUUGCUCCUGGGGGAGCUUUCAGACACCCCCAAAGGAGAACGUUCUUCCAAGCUCCUCUCUGCUCUUAACAGCCACAAGGACCGUUUCAUUUCAGGGAGAGAGAUUAAGAAGAGGAAAUGUUUGUUUGGUCUCCAUGCUCGGAUGCCUCCCCCUGUGGAGCCCCCUACUGGAGAUGGAGCACUCACCAGCUUCCCUUCAGGGCAGGGCCCUGGGGGAGGGGUCUCACGUCCCCUGGGGAAGCGCCGGAGGCCGGAGCCAGAGCCCCUGAGGAGGAGGCAGAAGGGGAAAGUGGAGGAGCUGGGGCCACCCUCAGCAGUGCGCAAUCAGCCCGAGCCCCAGGAGCAGAGGGAGCGGGCUCAUCUGCAGAGGGCACUGCAGGCCUCAGUGUCUCCACCAUCCCCCAGCCCUAACCAGAGUUACCAGGGCAGCAGCGGCUACAACUUCCGGCCCACAGAUGCCCGCUGCCUGCCCAGCAGCCCCAUCCGGAUGUUUGCUUCCUUCCACCCUUCUGCCAGCACCGCAGGGACCUCUGGGGACAGUGGACCCCCAGACAGGUCACCCCUGGAACUUCACAUUGGUUUCCCCACAGACAUCCCUAAAAGUGCCCCCCACUCGAUGACUGCCUCAUCUUCCUCAGUUUCAUCCCCAUCCCCAGGUCUUCCUAGACGCUCAGCACCCCCUUCUCCCCUGUGCCGUAGUUUGUCUCCUGGGACUGGGGGAGGAGUCCGAGGUGGGGUUGGUUACCUGUCCCGAGGGGACCCUGUCCGGGUCCUUGCUCGGAGAGUACGGCCUGAUGGCUCUGUGCAGUACCUGGUUGAGUGGGGAGGAGGGGGCAUCUUCUGAACAGCCUGCCUCUGCCCAGCUCCCCAUUCACACACACCGGCACUUUCAUACCCUGACCUCUGACCUCACCUACAGCUGGGAUGUACCUGGAGAGAUAGGGGGUAGUUCUCCCUACUGCCCAGGCUGGAAUCCAAGAGUGGGGAGUGGGGAAGAGGCCCUCUUCUCUACCCUCCUUCAUGAUUCCUGACCCCUCCCAUCCUUCCCAUUUCCUUUGAUGUUAUUUUGUUACAGCUUUUUAAAUAUUUUUUAAAAUUAUUUAACCCCUGGGGGCAGAGACUGAGGAGGGAGGAUGAUAAGGGAUCCCGGACUCUGUAUGAUUGAAAUAAAGAGAAAUAAACAAA
Molecule: unclassified non-coding RNA, 2283 nt
Filed under: Homo sapiens (human)
Lineage: Eukaryota; Metazoa; Chordata; Mammalia; Primates; Hominidae
Description: PHD finger protein 1 (ENSG00000225553.7)
Source: RNAcentral